GAGUUUGAUCUUGGCUCAGGAUGAACGCUAGCGGCAGGCCUAAUACAUGCAAGUCGAACGGUAAAUAUUUUAGCAAUAGAAUAUGAGAGUGACGUACGGGUGCGUAACACGUAUGCAACCUACCUUGUACAGGAGGAUAGCUCGGGGAAACUCGGAUUAACCCUCCAUAAUAUGAUUGAAUGGCAUCAUUUGAUUAUUAAAACUUUGGUGGUACAAGAUGGGCAUGCGUCUGAUUAGCUAGUUGGCGGGGUAAAGGCCCACCAAGGCGAUGAUCAGUAGGGGAACUGAGAGGUUGAUCCCCCACACUGGCACUGAGAUACGGGCCAGACUCCUACGGGAGGCAGCAGUAGGGAAUAUUGGUCAAUGGAUGGAAGUCUGAACCAGCCAUGCCGCGUGCAGGAAGAAGGCCUUCUGGGUUGUAAACUGCUUUUGCCAGGGGGUAAAAGGCGUGCGCGCCAAAUUGAAAGUACCUGGUGAAUAAGCCACGGCUAACUACGUGCCAGCAGCCGCCGUAA
RNAcentral lists this ribosomal RNA (515 nucleotides) under uncultured Bacteroidota bacterium. Its description in RNAcentral is "bacterial SSU rRNA". It matches the Rfam family "Bacterial small subunit ribosomal RNA", at positions 9 to 523 of the family's 1533-position model. Lineage: Bacteria; Pseudomonadati; Bacteroidota. The record is from RNAcentral.